This 220-nucleotide small RNA is filed under the name Cryptosporidium parvum. Lineage: Eukaryota; Apicomplexa; Conoidasida; Eucoccidiorida; Cryptosporidiidae. The record is from RNAcentral.
GAUUCAGUCUCAAAUAUCAUUAGAACAAGGUCAAAAGUAAGUUUAACACUAUAUUUGAGUUUUAAUUCAUGUAAUUUGUCACUGAGAUUAUAUUAUUAAUCUUCUUUACAUUGCUAAUUAAAGUGGAUUCAUAUCAAAGUGACAAACUAAUAAGCAGUUCAUUAGUUAUUUAAUUCUAAUAUCUGAUAAUUAAGUAACCAGUCGGCUGUUUUACAAUCAU